CAGUCGCCACGGGAAAACGUAGGUGGCAAGCGUUGUCCGGAAUGAUUGGGCGUAAAGGGCGCGCAGGCGGCUGUGUAAGUCUGUCUAGAAAGUGCGGGGCUAAACCCCGUGAGAGGAUGGAAACUGGACAGCUGAGAGUGUCGGAGAGGAAAGCGGAAUUCCUGGUGUAGCGGUGAAAUGCGUAGAUAUUAGGAGGAACACCGGUGGCGAAAGCGGCUUUCUGGACGACAACUGACGCUGAGGCGCGAAAGCCAGGGGAGCAAACGGGAUUAGAUACCCCAGUAGUCCCUGUCUCUUAUAC
This 301-nucleotide ribosomal RNA is filed under the name uncultured bacterium. RNAcentral describes it as "partial 16S ribosomal RNA". It matches the Rfam family "Bacterial small subunit ribosomal RNA", at positions 509 to 807 of the family's 1533-position model. The record is from RNAcentral.